GGACGGGUGUCACCGUGUUGUGUGAAACG
RNAcentral lists this non-coding RNA (29 nucleotides) under Rattus norvegicus (Norway rat). The record is from RNAcentral. Lineage: Eukaryota; Metazoa; Chordata; Mammalia; Rodentia; Muridae.